GCCAGGCAUGGUAGCGCAUGCCUGUAAUCCCCAAGACUUGGGAGGCUGGGGCAGGAGGAUCACAAGUUCAAGGCCAGCUUCAGCAACUUUCUGAUGCCCUAAGCCAUUUAUUGAAACCUUGUCUCAA
RNAcentral lists this small RNA (127 nucleotides) under Marmota monax (woodchuck). Lineage: Eukaryota; Metazoa; Chordata; Mammalia; Rodentia; Sciuridae. The record is from RNAcentral.